Bombyx mori (domestic silkworm) is the source of this 3422-nucleotide long non-coding RNA. RefSeq lists it as uncharacterized. The record is from RefSeq and is a predicted model, not a curated record. Lineage: Eukaryota; Metazoa; Arthropoda; Insecta; Lepidoptera; Bombycidae. The transcript has 2 exons.
CAGUAUUAUUCCGGACUCGACUAAGAGAGGACGUUUGGUUUUUAUGUCUUUAGUUCUAACAUUACAAAACACAAAGUUUACAUUUUCAUAAAUAGUCUGAAUAUCAACGAAGUGUGAGCCAACUUUUCUCGAGCGGCUUAAUUAAAUUUCAUCCGUCUUCAAAGUCAGGAAAACUAUUUGCAAACUUUUAGAUUAAUAUUUGACAAUCCCGUCCAUCGCGCCUAUAAAAUUUUUGCCUGAAGAGAGCCGAGUGGAAUCAAAAUUGGAUUGGAGAAGAAUUUUAACGUUUUCGCCACAAACAAAAUUUUUCUUCACUUACAAUAAUGAGAUGAAAAUUUAAUCUACGAAAAUGGGUCGCAACUCUGGCGGAGUCGACGCGAAUGGCGAACUCCGGAUUCUGCUGGUAGUGACGGUCGUGGUGGGGUUACUCCUCAUGUUUUCAUUGCUCAUGUGUUACGCGUGCGUAUUGAAGCGACUGUGCUGUGGCACGCCCAGGGAACGUGCUAAGAAUGUUGCUUGUGGCAGAAGAACCGAAAGCUAUCCUAUGGGUGACGUCACUCUACUCUCCCAACCAACAGAAAGUGAAAGAGUCUAGAUCGAAAAAGAAACAUAAGUCCGGAUAAGUGUGCUUAGUGCGAGUUUCUUAACGUUCUCGAUAGCGUAAAAGUUAGCUCAUAUUUGUAUGGAAUGGAAACGUUUGCGUACGUUUGCCGUUAGGGGCGCUGUUCCAAUUGCAUACAAUAUUGACUUAACUUUUACGCUGUCGAACUAAGCACACAGGUUAUGAAACCUUAAACUAAACAUCAGAUUAAAGUUUGCAAUUCCCUAUGUAUUUAGACCUUUGACUCUGCCCUCUGUAUCCCCCUUCAUUGUGUUUAGAUUUAGUCUUAAGGUUGUGAGAGUAUUUUUUAUCGCAACUGGCUGCCACCGCGUUAAAGUCACAACUGGAACUGCAUCAUUAGGGAUAUUCCAAGUUAGAUUAUCGUAAUGCUACGAACCUUAAAGAACUGCGCUAUUAAACGUUGAUUUAUGCGUUUGGCAAAUCUAAUCAAGACUAUAUGAAGGACACUGUAUGCGUUAACAUUAUUUUAAUAGUGUAUUUAAAUUUUGUAAUCGAAAACGUUUGACUUUUUUUUUUGUAUUUGGCAAAUCUAGUCACAACUGUAUGAUGAAUACUGUUUACGUUUAUAUUAUAUUAACAGUAUGUUUAAAUUUUGUAAUAAGCAUUUGUAUAUUUUAAAUAAUUAAAAAUGUAUAUAUCAACUGAAAUAUUUAAUAACCCAAAGGCACAUAAUUGUAUAAUAAAUAAAUUAAAACAAUUAUAUAUGAAACAAGUUUAAUAUAUUCAAUAACAUUGUUAAUUUAAAUAUAGGUACUUAUGUUACAAGGCACUCAAAUUACAUAAGAUUUUGGAUUGUUUCUUCGAUCCAUUUUACAGUAUGACAAAAUUGUGUAAACUUUGUUUACAUUGUAGAGUAAGUAUAUCGAAACAUUUCGAUUUUUGCAAGCCGUAGACAUAAUAACUAUCAAAACUACUUUAAGGUUUAAUCUCGCGAAUUUUUGUUGAAAUUAUAAUAAUAUUAUUUCUGUGAACACGCAAACUGUUAAAUAUUCGAAACAUUGGAAAUAAUAUAAUGAUUAUAAAAAAGCGACAUUAAACUGCACAAGUAGUUUUAAUUAUAUCAAAACCUAAUUCUCAAGCUUUAUGAAAUUGUCAUUCUUUUUUUCAAUGUGUUUUUGAUAGAUACUUUUAUUGUGAUUUAUGGCAUGCUCUCAUUCGUUUUACGAUACAAUAUAGACAUCUUUGAAAACAUCACGAGUGUUUCAAUUUUAUUUAUGAGCCUAUAUGAUGCGCGAUGUGCGAGGGGUGUUCAAUAAAUUGUGAAAAUGCGAUACAUUCUCCUAUAACAAAAAAAAACAAUAGAUUUUCUUUUGUUUUUUUUUUAAUAGAAGUCAUCGAUUUUAGUGGUGUCGGAAAGUAUUCUUAAAAUUGGAUAAAUUGAAGUUCGCGCGGUAAAAAAAUAUCGCUGUUUGAAAAAUUUUACUACGGAGCUGGCAUAUCAAGAUUUGAGAGCAACAUUAGGAGUUCAUGCUCCUCCGUAUUCUACGGUUGCGCUUUGGUGUCAACUCAGCAAAGUUCAAGUGAGGAAGAACUUCCAUUAACGACGUCCCCCGCACGGGACGCCCUACAUCGGUAGUGACUGAAGAAAUGAUUUAAAAAAAUGAAAAAAAUGUCUUGGCGUAUCGUCGUAUUGCUGUUGUUUUAUAGCAGAAUAUAAAAGUAUGAAAAAAGUCUCAGCGCGCUGAAUGACCGGAAAGCUGUCUGACGCGCAGAACCAAGCAAGAGUGAGUAUUUCACAAAGCUGUUUGACUUUGUUGCUACAAGAACUUUACUGAUUUUUGGCUCCAUUCAUACUAUAGACGAAAUAUGGCUUCACCAUUAUUAUCCGAAAAAAAAAAAAAAAAAAACAAUCCACGACUUGGAAGAGACCAAAGCGAUUCCAUCAGCCGGUAAGAUCGUGGGUUUUUUCUGGGACAGCCAAGUGGUGGUAAUGAUCGAAUACCUUAAUCAUGGAGCCACUAUUACGGAGACUUUGUACGCAGGACAAAUGACAAAGUUGCGUGAGGAAAUACGCAAGCAACCGCGUGGCAAACGCUAAAAUUGCUUUGUUUCACUAAUAUAACACCCCGCGCAUAAGUCCAGAGUUGCGAUGGCUGCCAUACAAGAAGCUGCCUUUGAAUUGAUGGAACAUCCUCCAUGUUCACCGGACCUAGGUUCUAGUGAUUUCUACGUAUUUUCGCGGUUAAAGGAACAUCUCAGGGGUCAUAAAUUUGAAGAUGAUGACGCAAUAGUCGCCGCGGUAGACGGUUUCCUAAGGGUUCAAGAAGUUUGUUUUUGAAAUGGAAAUUUUAGUUUUAGAAAAAAGGUAUAAAAAGUGUAUCUAAAAACUAUACCUGUGUAUCUAAAAGGUGACUACGUCGAAAUAUAAUAUUAUGAAGUUAAAUAAGAGAUAAUUGCGUCAUACUCUAAUCACUUUUUAAUGAACACUCCUAGUAUUGUGCUACUAAAAUAAAUUUGAUAACUCAAGAAUAAUCGCGGUAAUGCAGAAACAAAAUAAUAAGUAGAAUAAAACGUUAAUUGGCAAAAUUAUUAUUCUAGUACAUUUUUUUUUUGAGGUUACUCAAACUGCUGUGAUAUAUUUUGAAAAUAUAUUUGUUAUUUAAAGUGUGUAGUUCUGAUCUCUCAGCACACCGUGUACCAUAGUCCUCAAGGAUUGUGGUUUGCAAUAUUCUUCCAGCCAAUUGAAGACACCCGCUGAGAACUCAGCGAAGUCGUUUGUCGGUACAGAUUCAAAUGAUUCAAACAGCUUGUCCAUUAUACCCUGAAACUAAAUUUUAAUAAAGUUUGUGUUGUUCAAAUA